This 497-nucleotide ribosomal RNA is filed under the name uncultured bacterium. Its description in RNAcentral is "partial 16S ribosomal RNA". It matches the Rfam family "Bacterial small subunit ribosomal RNA", at positions 28 to 507 of the family's 1533-position model. The record is from RNAcentral.
GAUGAACGCUGGCGGCGUGCCUAAUACAUGCAAGUCGAGCGAACAGAUGAGGAGCUUGCUCCUCUGACGUUAGCGGCGGACGGGUGAGUAACACGUGGAUAACCUACCUAUAAGACUGGGAUAACUUCGGGAAACCGGAGCUAAUACCGGAUAAUAUAUUGAACCGCAUGGUUCAAUAGUGAAAGACGGUUUUGCUGUCACUUAUAGAUGGAUCCGCGCCGCAUUAGCUAGUUGGUAAGGUAACGGCUUACCAAGGCAACGAUGCGUAGCCGACCCGAGAGGGUGAUCGGCCACACUGGAACUGAGACACGGUCCAGACUCCUACGGGAGGCAGCAGUAGGGAAUCUUCCGCAAUGGGCGAAAGCCUGACGGAGCAACGCCGCGUGAGUGAUGAAGGUCUUCGGAUCGUAAAACUCUGUUAUUAGGGAAGAACAAAUGUGUAAGUAACUAUGCACGUCUUGACGGCACCUAAUCAGAAAGCCACGGCUAACUACGUG